GACGAACGCUGGCGGCGUGCUUAACACAUGCAAGUCGAACGGAAAGGCCCCUUUGGGGGUACUCGAGUGGCGAACGGGUGAGUAACACGUGAGUAACCUGCCCUUGACUUCGGGAUAACUUCAGGAAACUGGGGCUAAUACCGGAUAGGAAUCCUUGCUGCAUGGUGGGGGUUGGAAAGCUUCGGCGGUUUUGGAUGGACUCGCGGCUUAUCAGCUUGUUGGUGGGGUAGUGGCUUACCAAGGCUUUGACGGGUAGCCGGCCUGAGAGGGCGACCGGCCACAGUGGGACUGAGAUACGGCCCAGACGCCUACGGGAGGCAGCAGUGGGGAAUAUUGCACAAUGGGCGGAAGCCUGAUGCAGCAACGCCGCGUGCGGGAUGACGGCCUUCGGGUUGUAAACCGCUUUCAGCAGGGGCGAAGCUUGUGGUGACGGUACCUGCAGAAGAAGCACCGGCUAACUACGUG
This 465-nucleotide ribosomal RNA is filed under the name uncultured bacterium. RNAcentral's name for it is "partial 16S ribosomal RNA". It matches the Rfam family "Bacterial small subunit ribosomal RNA", at positions 28 to 507 of the family's 1533-position model. The record is from RNAcentral.